GGAGGUUUGGCAGAGUGGUCGAAUGCGGCGGUCUUGAAAACCGUUGUACCGAAAGGUACCGGGGGUUCGAAUCCCUCAGCCUCCGCCA
RNAcentral lists this transfer RNA (88 nucleotides) under Chitinophagales bacterium. Its description in RNAcentral is "tRNA-Ser". It matches the Rfam family "tRNA". From Rfam's summary of the family: Transfer RNA (tRNA) molecules are approximately 80 nucleotides in length. Their secondary structure includes four short double-helical elements and three loops (D, anti-codon, and T loops). Further hydrogen bonds mediate the characteristic L-shaped molecular structure. tRNAs have two regions of fundamental functional importance: the anti-codon, which is responsible for specific mRNA codon recognition, and the 3' end, to which the tRNAs corresponding amino acid is attached (by aminoacyl-tRNA synthetases). tRNAs cope with the degeneracy of the genetic code in two manners: having more than one tRNA (with a specific anti-codon) for a particular amino acid; and 'wobble' base-pairing, i.e. permitting non-standard base-pairing at the 3rd anti-codon position. The record is from RNAcentral. Lineage: Bacteria; Pseudomonadati; Bacteroidota; Chitinophagia; Chitinophagales.